GCCGAGGUAGCCAAGUCGGUCACGGCGAAUGUCUGAAAAACAUUAGAUUCCGGUUCGAUUCCGGACCUCGGCAC
This 74-nucleotide transfer RNA is filed under the name Parcubacteria group bacterium ADurb.Bin216. RNAcentral describes it as "tRNA-Phe". It matches the Rfam family "tRNA". From Rfam's summary of the family: Transfer RNA (tRNA) molecules are approximately 80 nucleotides in length. Their secondary structure includes four short double-helical elements and three loops (D, anti-codon, and T loops). RNAcentral also lists the same sequence under 2 other names. The record is from RNAcentral.